GGUGACCUGCGGAAGGAUUAUUA
RNAcentral lists this ribosomal RNA (23 nucleotides) under uncultured Cortinarius. RNAcentral describes it as "partial 18S ribosomal RNA". Lineage: Eukaryota; Fungi; Basidiomycota; Agaricomycetes; Agaricales; Cortinariaceae. The record is from RNAcentral.